CGAUGUGCACGGGCGUUGGACUUGGUGAGCUGCGCGGCGGUUGGGAUGCCCUGGUUGCUCAAGGGAGACACCGGUGAUCGAGUGAUCAUGGGCCGGGACAUGCUGGAGCGAUGAUCCUGUGGAACGCGGCACAAAGGGGAGAAAACGUAAACGCGGCUAUCUGGCACCAAUGCAGUGGAAUAUUCAUCAGAAGUGACAAGCAUCAGAGAGAGAGAGUGUCGCAUGCCUUCCUGUUCCUGUACCACCCUCCAACCCCAGAGCCGCAGACUCAAGGCAGUUUCCAGAAUCAAACAAUUUCACGCAGCUAUUGGAGGAGGAAAUGAACUGAGCCCAGAGCAAUAAUAAAAUUAUACAAAUGUUA
Long non-coding RNA from Pseudoliparis swirei, 361 nucleotides. RefSeq lists it as uncharacterized. NCBI's taxonomy places the organism in Eukaryota, Metazoa, Chordata, Actinopteri, Perciformes, Liparidae. The transcript has 3 exons. The record is from RefSeq and is a predicted model, not a curated record.